AUGUCAUGGUUGCUGCUUCUCUGCCUAGUCGCCGCCGGCAUAUUGCAAGCUCCUGCGCAGCCAAACCCAGCAGGUUUCAUAAGCAUAGAUUGUGGUCUCCCGGGAGAGACGGGCUACGUGAACAACAUCACCACUCUAUCCUACACCACGGAUGCCAGCUUCAUUGACGCCUACGCCGGCUCAAACCACAACAUCUCAACUAAGUACAUGACCUCGACACUACCCAACAACUGGUGGUACACCCUGCGCAGCUUCCCCAGUGGGGCGCGCAACUGCUACACUCUCGGAUUGCUCAUGCCUGGGCUAAAAUACCUUAUCCGCGCCAAGUUCUUGUACGGCAACUACGAUGGCCUCGAUAGGCUACCUAUCUCCUUUGACCUCUACGUGGGUGUUGACUUUUGGAUGAGGGUGAACAUCCAAGUAUCCGGCAGGUGGGUGUUGGCGGAGGCCAUCGUGAUGGUGUCGCGUGAUUCCCUACAGGUUUGCCUUGUGAACGCGGGUGGCGGGGUGCCAUUCAUCUCUGCGCUAGAUCUGAGGCCCCUGAGGAACAAAAUCUACCCACAAGCCAACAUGACACAUGGCCUGGUUCUGGUCAACAGGAUCAACUUCGGACCAUACGAUGGAAGUGCUGCUAUCAGGUACCCUGAUGAUUCUUUCGACCGCAUGUGGUUCCCUGCUUCUGGCGGUGCAACAGCUUACUGGGAUGAGAUAUCAACGGAGAUGAAGGUGGAAAUUGGUGACGACCAAUUCCAGCCACCCCAGGCAGUGAUGCAGACGGCCAUCACGCCGAAGAACUUCUCCAGCAACAUAGAGUUCACCAUGGACCUCCAGAGUUCCCCUAGUUACUGGUCCCUGGGGUACAUUGAAAUGAUGUACUUCUCUGAACUAAAAUCUCUCCCCAAUAAUACACUACGACAGUACACCAUCUACCGGAAUGGAGAAGAGACCACAACAGCCUACACUCCGCCGUACCUUGACGAUGGUUACACCUACUCAGCUGAGCCAUUUCAUGCCAGACAGUACUUGUUGUCCAUCAACGCCACGGCUAACUCAACGAUGCCGCCCAUCAUAAACGCCCUCGAGCUAUUCUCCAUCAUUCCAACCACCACCUUGGGCACCAACUCACAGGACGUGUCUGCCAUCAUGACCAUCAAGGAGAGGUACCAGGUGCAGAAGAAUUGGAUGGGUGACCCAUGCGUUCCCGAUACUAUGGUCUGGGAUGGCCUAACAUGCAUCUAUGCCAGUUCCAAGCCCCCAAUUAUCUCAAACGUAAAUGUCUCCUUCAGUGGUCUGAAUUAUACUAUAUCACCUGAUUUUGCAAAUCUCACGGAUGUCCGACACUUGGAUCUGUCAAACAACAACUUGAUAGGUUCAAUUCCAGACACCCUUUCACAAUUACCGUCAUUAAUAUUUUUAGAUCUCUCAAACAACAAGCUCAGUGGAUCAAUUCCCUUUGGACUUCUAAAAAAAGUUCAAGAUGGCUCCUUGGAUCUAAGAUAUGGCAACAAUCCUGACCUCUGUUCUAAUGGGAAUACAUGCCAUCCUACUGAAGGAGAUAACAAACUAGCUAUCCACAUAGUAGUUCCGGUAGUUGUUAUUGUGGCAUUAGUGUUAGUGGCAAUACUAUGUUUUUGGUUACAAAGAAAAAGAAAGGAAGGAUCAAUCAGAAACCCUGUGAAGGUGACGAAUGACGGCGACUGGAUUAUUUCACUUCCACUUGAGAACCGUCAGUUCACAUACAUGGAACUGGAGGUGAUUACGAACAACUUCCAACGACCGCUUGGAAGAGGAGGGUUUGGGUACGUCUUUCAUGGCUCCCUGGAGAAGGGUACUGAGGUGGCAGUAAAGUUAAGGUCUCAUUCUUAA
RNAcentral lists this ribosomal RNA (1866 nucleotides) under Triticum aestivum (bread wheat). Its description in RNAcentral is "partial small subunit ribosomal RNA". Lineage: Eukaryota; Viridiplantae; Streptophyta; Magnoliopsida; Poales; Poaceae. The record is from RNAcentral.